This 504-nucleotide ribosomal RNA is filed under the name uncultured bacterium. RNAcentral's name for it is "bacterial SSU rRNA". It matches the Rfam family "Bacterial small subunit ribosomal RNA", at positions 113 to 613 of the family's 1533-position model. The record is from RNAcentral.
AUGCAUCGGAACGUGCCCUGAAGUGGGGGAUAACGCAGCGAAAGCUACGCUAAUACCGCAUAUUCUGUGAGCAGGAAAGCAGGGGAUCGCAAGACCUUGCGCUUUGGGAGCGGCCGAUGUCGGAUUAGCUAGUUGGUGGGGUAAAGGCCUACCAAGGCGACGAUCCGUAGCGGGUCUGAGAGGAUGAUCCGCCACACUGGGACUGGGACACGGCCCAGACUCCUACGGGAGGCAGCAGUGGGGAAUUUUGGACAAUGGGCGGAAGCCUGAUCCAGCCAUGCCGCGUGAGUGAAGAAGGCCUUCGGGUUGUAAAGCUCUUUCGGCGGGGAAGAAAUUGCUUGGGUUAAUACCCUGAGUAGAUGACGGUACCCGAAUAAGAAGCACCGGCUAACUACGUGCCAGCAGCCGCGGUAAUACGUAGGGUGCGAGCGUUAAUCGGAAUUACUGGGCGUAAAGCGUGCGCAGGCGGUUUUGUAAGUCAGAUGUGAAAUCCCCGGGCUCAAC